UACCAGCUCCCUGAGUGGUAAGGACGAUUAUUUGGCCUAAAGCGUCCGUAGCCGGCUUAUCAAGUCUCUUGUUAAACCCAAUGAUUCAAUCAUUGAUCUGCAAGAGAUACUAUUAUGCUAGAGGACGGGAGAGGUCGACGGUAGUCCAGGGGUAGGGGUGAAAUCCUAUAAUCCUUGGAGGACCACCAGUGGCGAAGGCGGUCGACUAGAACGUGCCUGACGGUGAGGGACGAAGGCUGGGGGGAGCGAACCGGAUUAGAUACCCGGGUAGUCCCAGCUGUAAACGAUGCGGGCUAGGUGUUGGGGUAGCUACGAGCUACUCCAGUGCCGCAGAGAAGUUGUUAAGCCCGCCGCCUGGGGAGUACGGCCGCAAGGCUGAAACUUAAAGGAAUUGGCGGGGAGCACCACAAGGGGUGAAGGCUGCGGUUU
RNAcentral lists this ribosomal RNA (429 nucleotides) under uncultured archaeon. Its description in RNAcentral is "bacterial SSU rRNA". It matches the Rfam family "Archaeal small subunit ribosomal RNA", at positions 474 to 903 of the family's 1478-position model. The record is from RNAcentral.